UAGGGAAUCUUCCGCAAUGGACGAAAGUCUGACGGAGCAACGCCGCGUGAGUGAUGAAGGUUUUCGGAUCGUAAAACUCUGUUGUUAGGGAAGAACAAGUUGGGUAGUAACUGACCCAACCUUGACGGUACCUAACCAGAAAGCCACGGCUAACUACGUGCCAGCAGCCGCGGUAAUACGUAGGCGGCAAGCGUUGUCCGGAAUUAUUGGGCGUAAAGCGCUCGCAGGCGGUCUUUUAAGUCUGAUGUGAAAGCCCACGGCUUAACCGUGGAGGGUCAUUGGAAACUGGAGGACUUGAGUACAGAAGAGGAGAGUGGAAUUCCACGUGUAGCGGUGAAAUGCGUAGAGAUGUGGAGGAACACCAGUGGCGAAGGCGACUCUCUGGUCUGUAACUGACGCUGAGGAGCGAAAGCGUGGGUAGCGAACAGG
This 429-nucleotide ribosomal RNA is filed under the name Bacillota bacterium. Its description in RNAcentral is "Firmicutes bacterium partial 16S ribosomal RNA". It matches the Rfam family "Bacterial small subunit ribosomal RNA", at positions 355 to 776 of the family's 1533-position model. The record is from RNAcentral. Lineage: Bacteria; Bacillati; Bacillota.